GUUAGACAGGCUUACCCCAGUCAUUUCAUUAACCUCGCAAAAAUGUGAUCCAGCAUUUUACGUGAUUAAAUUUUUAGAUCCUACAUUUCAUAUCAUGGGAAGGAUUUUAUUACAUUUUUAAAUGAGAGAAGAAAUUUAAAGCCUGGAGAAGGAAGACAAAUUCAUAUGAAGAUACAAUAAGAAGGCCUCCAUCUGCAAACCAAGAGGGCUCUGACCAGACCCUGAACGUGCCAUGGUUUUGGACUUCUUUGGCUCCAGAACUGUGAGAAAUAAAUGUUUGCUUUUAAGUCA
Molecule: long non-coding RNA, 291 nt
Organism: Herpailurus yagouaroundi (jaguarundi)
Lineage: Eukaryota; Metazoa; Chordata; Mammalia; Carnivora; Felidae
Exons: 2
Source: RefSeq, a predicted model, not a curated record